Tupaia belangeri chinensis (Chinese tree shrew) is the source of this 1182-nucleotide long non-coding RNA. RefSeq lists it as uncharacterized. NCBI's taxonomy places the organism in Eukaryota, Metazoa, Chordata, Mammalia, Scandentia, Tupaiidae. The transcript is spliced from 3 exons. The record is from RefSeq and is a predicted model, not a curated record.
CAGAAAUAGCCAUCAGCAUGCUUUAUAUCACAUGUUGGAGGAGGAAAGAUUUGUGUCCUCUUUGCCUUAUGAUAAGUAAAGGAAACUUGAGGAAAAACAGUUAACGAUUUUUAGAUAUGUCUCCUAGGAUUUGAGGAAGAUAGUGAUUAAUAUUUGACUUAUGUUGAAAAAUGAUAAACGCACAUCCUGGCUUGAUUUGUCAAACAGAGAGGGGGCAUAGGCUAUCUAUCUACUAACAACAGGAUCAAAGCAUACAAUCUGGAGAUUGGAAGUAGAUUUCCUAUAAGAGAGUGAGGCUCCCUUAUUUGAGAGAGAAUGAGAGAAUCUACCCAAGAGGCCUGUCUGCUAGGAAAGAUCCCCAUAAAAGGAGAUUCCAUGCACCAUAGGACCUUACAACAGGAGAAAGAGGAAAGUGUUAAGAGCAAUUGAGAGCAGCCAGACCCAGAGAAAUAGGUAGCACUGUGGACUGCUAUCAGAUGUUCCUGAAGAGAGUUUCCAGGAAAUCACAAACAUCAGACAGGUAGGACCAGCAGGUGUACAUGAGUUACCCUCAGAGGGCCAUCACUAUGUGUGACUGUCCAGCCUUGGAAGACCACACCUAUCACCGCAGUCAUAUUCUCCUCAAACAGCUAACUCUAGAGCUCUAAGGAGGAGAAGUUGAUUCCACCACUUGAACUGGAGAAAAGUAGACAUUCUGGAUUAGAAAAUGGUCUGAGAUAGUAAUAGUAGCCUAUAUGAGCAGAGAAGGUAUGGCACCUGGUGAAAUUUCAAUACUGAGGAUGAAAUGUUGGUAGAAUAACAGUCAACUGCUUUUCCAUUGCAUCCUGCUGGGUCUGAUUUAUUGAAUGCCCCAAGUGGAUUGUGUCUUCUCCGAGAACUGUUCUGUAGAAAUAUGUAAUACAAAUGGACCCUAACAGUGGAGAUGAUUUCAAGUAACAGUGGCGGAAAGCUAUUCGAUGCCAUGACUGAAUCAUGAUGCAAAUAAGAUGGCUGAGGAAAGGACGUUUUAAAGUAGCUGUUGGGAAUCCUUGACGCCUGUUGCUUUUAGCAGAAAUGUUUAUUCUUCUUUAUGGUCCGUCUCUCCAUUAAUGCAAAAUUCCUGCCACAAAAAUGCACAUCUUUGUGUCAGUUUAAUGUAAAUCAAGAUUAUGACACUGAAAUUCCACCUGUUUGAAAAAGGAA